GGAUGUAGCGCAGUUGGUAGCGCGCCUGGUUUGGGACCAGGAUGUCGCAGGUUCGAAUCCUGUCAUU
Molecule: transfer RNA, 67 nt
Filed under: human gut metagenome
Also listed under: 1 other name
Rfam family: tRNA
About the family: Transfer RNA (tRNA) molecules are approximately 80 nucleotides in length. Their secondary structure includes four short double-helical elements and three loops (D, anti-codon, and T loops).
Source: RNAcentral